This 244-nucleotide ribosomal RNA is filed under the name Spongiactinospora rosea. RNAcentral's name for it is "Sphaerisporangium sp. LHW63015 partial 23S ribosomal RNA". It matches the Rfam family "Bacterial large subunit ribosomal RNA", at positions 2690 to 2925 of the family's 2925-position model. The record is from RNAcentral. Lineage: Bacteria; Bacillati; Actinomycetota; Actinomycetes; Streptosporangiales; Streptosporangiaceae.
GACCGGGACGGACGAACCUCUGGUGUGCCAGUUGUAUCGCCAGGUGCAUGGCUGGUUGGCUACGUUCGGGAAGGAUAACCGCUGAAGGCAUCUAAGCGGGAAGCUUGCCUUGAGAUGAGGUCUCCCUCCCACUUUGGUGGGGUAAGGCUCCCGGUGGAUGACCGGGUUGAUAGGCUGGUGGUGGAAGCGUUGUGAGGCGUGGAGCUGACUGGUACUAAUAGGCCGAGGACUUGACCACAACAAA